CCUACGGGAGGCAGCAGUGGGGAACAUUGGACAAUGGGGGGAACCCUGAUCCAGCCAUGCCGCGUGUGUGAAGAAGGCCCUCGGGUUGUAAAGCACUUUCAGUGAGGAAGAACGCCUGGUGGUUAAUACCCAUCAGGAAAGACAUCACUCACAGAAGAAGCACCGGCUAACUCCGUGCCAGCAGCCGCGGUAAUACGGAGGGUGCGAGCGUUAAUCGGAAUUACUGGGCGUAAAGCGCGCGUAGGUGGCUUGAUAAGCCGGUUGUGAAAGCCCCGGGCUCAACCUGGGAACGGCAUCCGGAACUGUCAAGCUAGAGUGCAGGAGAGGAAGGUAGAAUUCCCGGUGUAGCGGUGAAAUGCGUAGAGAUCGGGAGGAAUACCAGUGGCGAAGGCGGCCUUCUGGACUGACACUGACACUGAGGUGCGAAAGCGUGGGUAGCAAACAGGAUUAGAUACCCGUGUAGUC
This 465-nucleotide ribosomal RNA is filed under the name Vreelandella stevensii. RNAcentral describes it as "partial 16S ribosomal RNA". It matches the Rfam family "Bacterial small subunit ribosomal RNA", at positions 338 to 795 of the family's 1533-position model. The record is from RNAcentral. Lineage: Bacteria; Pseudomonadati; Pseudomonadota; Gammaproteobacteria; Oceanospirillales; Halomonadaceae.